AAAACGACUCUCGGCAACGGAUAUCUCGGCUCUCGCAUCGAUGAAGAACGUAGCGAAAUGCGAUACUUGGUGUGAAUUGCAGAAUCCCGUGAACCAUCGAGUCUUUGAACGCAAGUUGCGCCCGAAGCCACUAGGCCGAGGGCACGUUUGCCUGGGCGUCACAC
RNAcentral lists this ribosomal RNA (164 nucleotides) under Phylica lachneaeoides. Its description in RNAcentral is "5.8S ribosomal RNA". It matches the Rfam family "5.8S ribosomal RNA". Rfam says of the family: 5.8S ribosomal RNA (5.8S rRNA) is a component of the large subunit of the eukaryotic ribosome. It is transcribed by RNA polymerase I as part of the 45S precursor that also contains 18S and 28S rRNA. The record is from RNAcentral. Lineage: Eukaryota; Viridiplantae; Streptophyta; Magnoliopsida; Rosales; Rhamnaceae.